RNAcentral lists this ribosomal RNA (333 nucleotides) under Bifidobacterium animalis. RNAcentral's name for it is "partial 23S ribosomal RNA". It matches the Rfam family "Bacterial large subunit ribosomal RNA", at positions 2600 to 2925 of the family's 2925-position model. Lineage: Bacteria; Bacillati; Actinomycetota; Actinomycetes; Bifidobacteriales; Bifidobacteriaceae. The record is from RNAcentral.
GCGAGCUGGGUUCAGAACGUCGUGAGACAGUUUGGUCUCUAUCCUCUGCGCUCGUUGGAAUCCUGAGGAGGCCUGCCCAUAGUACGAGAGGACCUGGGUGGACGAACCUCUGGUAUGCCAGUUGUCGCGCCAGCGGCACGGCUGGUUGGCCACGUUCGGGAGGGAUAACCGCUGAAAGCAUCUAAGCGGGAAGCCCGCUCCAAGAUAAGGAUUCCUGACACCCCCCCCGGGGGUGUGUGAGACCCCAUAGAGAACAUGUGGUUGAUAGACCGGACGUGGAAGCCCCGCGAGGGGUGGAGCCGACCGGCACUAACGGUCGAAGACAACCAACAC